UCAAGUACUAUAUUAAGUAGGUAGG
Molecule: non-coding RNA, 25 nt
Filed under: Mus musculus (house mouse)
Lineage: Eukaryota; Metazoa; Chordata; Mammalia; Rodentia; Muridae
Source: RNAcentral